Molecule: ribosomal RNA, 816 nt
Filed under: uncultured bacterium
Lineage: Bacteria
Description: bacterial SSU rRNA
Rfam family: Bacterial small subunit ribosomal RNA
Source: RNAcentral
UGCAAGUCGAACGAACCUUCGGGUUAGUGGCGGACGGGUGAGUAACGCGUGAGAAUCUGCCCUCAGGAGGGGGAUAACAGUUGGAAACGACUGCUAAUACCCCAUAUGCCGAGAGGUGAAACUAAUUUCGCCUGGGGAUGAGCUCGCGUCUGAUUAGCUUGUUGGUGGGGUAAUGGCCUACCAAGGCUUUGAUCAGUAGCUGGUCUGAGAGGACGAUCAGCCACACUGGGACUGAGACACGGCCCAGACUCCUACGGGAGGCAGCAGUGGGGAAUUUUCCGCAGUGGGCGAAAGCCUGACGGAGCAACGCCGCGUGAGGGAUGAAGGCCUUUGGGCUGUAAACCUCUUUUCUCAAGGAAGAAGAUCUGACGGUACUUGAGGAAUAAGCCACGGCUAAUUCCGUGCCAGCAGCCGCGGUAAUACGGGAGUGGCAAGCGUUAUCCGGAAUUAUUGGGCGUAAAGCGUCCGCAGGCGGCCGUUUAAGUCUGUUGUUAAAUUGUGGAGCUCAACUCCAUCACGGCAAUGGAAACUGUUCGGCUUGAGUAUGGUAGGGGCAGAGGGAAUUUCCGGUGUAGCGGUGAUAUGCGUAGAUAUCGGGAAGAACACCAGUGGCGAAAGCGCUCUGCUGGGCCAUUACUGACGCUCAUGGACGAAAGCCAGGGGAGCGAAAUGGAUUAGAUACCCAUGUAGUCCUGGCCGUAAACGAUGAACACUAGAUGUUGGGGGAAUCGACCCCCUCAGUGUCGUAGCUAACGCGUUAAGUGUUCCGCCUGGGGAGUACGCACGCAAGUGUGAAACUCAAAGGAAUUGACGGGG